This 499-nucleotide ribosomal RNA is filed under the name uncultured bacterium. RNAcentral's name for it is "partial 16S ribosomal RNA". It matches the Rfam family "Bacterial small subunit ribosomal RNA", at positions 28 to 507 of the family's 1533-position model. The record is from RNAcentral.
GAUGAACGCUGGCGGCGUGCCUAAUACAUGCAAGUCGAGCGAACAGACGAGAGUGCUUGCACUCUCUGACGUUAGCGGCGGACGGGUGAGUAACACGUGGGUAACCUACCUAUAAGACUGGGAUAACUUCGGGAAACCGUAGCUAAUACCGGAUAAUAUUUAUCUUCGCAUGCAGCAAUAGUGACAGACGUUUCUGCUGUCACUUAUAGAUUGACCCGCUGUGUAUUAGCUAGUUGGUGAGGUAACGGCUCACCAAGGCAACGAUACAUAGCCGACCUGAGAGGGUGAUCGGACACACUGGAACUGAGACACGGCCCAGACUCCUAAGGGAGGCAGCAGUAGGGAAUCUUCCGCAAUGGACGAAAGUCUGACGGAGCAAUGCCGCGUGAGUGAAGAAGGUUUUCGGAUCGUAAAACUCUGUUGUAAGGGAAGAACAAGUACGGUAGUAACUGAACGUACAUUGACGGUACCUUACCAGAAAGCCACGGCUAACUACGUG